RNAcentral lists this transfer RNA (76 nucleotides) under Deltaproteobacteria bacterium. RNAcentral describes it as "tRNA-Thr". It matches the Rfam family "tRNA". Rfam says of the family: Transfer RNA (tRNA) molecules are approximately 80 nucleotides in length. Their secondary structure includes four short double-helical elements and three loops (D, anti-codon, and T loops). The record is from RNAcentral. Lineage: Bacteria; Pseudomonadati; Myxococcota; Myxococcia.
GCCGACGUAGCUCAAUUGGUAGAGCUCCUGAUUUGUAAUCAGGGGGUUGCGGGUUCGAGUCCCAUCGUCGGCUCCA